RNAcentral lists this non-coding RNA (29 nucleotides) under Mus musculus (house mouse). Lineage: Eukaryota; Metazoa; Chordata; Mammalia; Rodentia; Muridae. The record is from RNAcentral.
UACUUACCAAUAAGUGUGUGGAUCCCAAG